CGCGUGGGAACGUGCCCCAAAGUGAGGGAUAAGCACCAGAAAUGGUGUCUAAUACCGCAUAUGGUCUUCGGAUUAAAGCUUCGGCGCUUUGGGAGCGGCCUGCGUACGAUUAGAUUGUUGGUGAGGUAAAGGCUCACCAAGUCGACGAUCGUUAACUGGUCUGAGAGGAUGAUCAGUCAGACUGGAACUGAGACACGGUCCAGACUCCUACGGGAGGCAGCAGUGAGGAAUCUUCCACAAUGGGGGCAACCCUGAUGGAGCAACGCCGCGUGAAGGAUGAAGGCCCUCGGGUUGUAAACUUCUUUUAUGAGCGAAGAAUAUGACGGUAACUCAUGAAUAAGGGUCGGCUAACUACGUG
Molecule: ribosomal RNA, 358 nt
Filed under: uncultured Gammaproteobacteria bacterium
Lineage: Bacteria; Pseudomonadati; Pseudomonadota; Gammaproteobacteria
Description: bacterial SSU rRNA
Rfam family: Bacterial small subunit ribosomal RNA
Source: RNAcentral